AGUGAACGCUGGCGGUAGGCCUAACACAUGCAAGUCGAACGGCAGCACAGUAAGAGCUUGCUCUUACGGGUGGCGAGUUGCGGACGGGUGAGGAAUACAUCGGAAUCUACUUUUUCGUGGGGGAUAACGUAGGGAAACUUACGCUAAUACCGCAUACGACCUACGGGUGAAAGCAGGUGAUCUUCGGACCUUGCGCGAUUGAAUGAGCCGAUGUCGGAUUAGCUAGUUGGCGGGGUAAAGGCCCACCAAGGCGACGAUCCGUAGCUGGUCUGAGAGGAUGAUCAGCCACACUGGAACUGAGACACGGUCCAGACUCCUACGGGAGGCAGCAGUGGGGAAUAUUGGACAAUGGGCGAAAGCCUGAUCCAGCCAUACCGCGGGGGUGAAGAAGGCCUUCGGGUUGUAAAGCCCUUUUGUUGGGAAAGAAAAGCAGCAGGUUAAUACCCCGAUGUUCUGACGGUACCCAAAGAAUAAGCACCGGCUAACUUCGUG
Molecule: ribosomal RNA, 492 nt
Filed under: uncultured bacterium
Lineage: Bacteria
Description: partial 16S ribosomal RNA
Rfam family: Bacterial small subunit ribosomal RNA
Source: RNAcentral